CCUACGGGGGGCAGCAGUCGAGAAUCAUUCACAAUGGGGGAAACCCUGAUGGUGCGACGCCGCGUGGGGGAAUGAAGGUCUUCGGAUUGUAAACCCCUGUCAUGUGGGAGCAAAUUAAAAAGAUAGUACCACAAGAGGAAGAGACGGCUAACUCUGUGCCAGCAGCCGCGGUAAUACAGAGGUCUCAAGCGUUGUUCGGAAUCACUGGGCGUAAAGCGUGCGUAGGCUGUUUCGUAAGUCGUGUGUGAAAGGCGCGGGCUCAACCCGCGGACGGCACAUGAUACUGCGAGACUAGAGUAAGGGAGGGGGAAGCGGAAUGCUCGGUGUAGCAGUGAAAUGCGUAGAUAUCGAGAGGAACACUCGUGGCGAAGGCGGGUUCCUGGACAUUAACUGACGCUGAGGCACGAAGGCGAGGGGAGCGAAAGGGAUUAGAUACCCUGGUAGUC
Molecule: ribosomal RNA, 446 nt
Filed under: uncultured bacterium
Lineage: Bacteria
Description: partial 16S ribosomal RNA
Rfam family: Bacterial small subunit ribosomal RNA
Source: RNAcentral